Podarcis raffonei (Aeolian wall lizard) is the source of this 302-nucleotide long non-coding RNA. RefSeq lists it as uncharacterized. NCBI's taxonomy places the organism in Eukaryota, Metazoa, Chordata, Lepidosauria, Squamata, Lacertidae. The record is from RefSeq and is a predicted model, not a curated record. The transcript has 2 exons.
AGAAGAAGAGAGACAGAGAGGAGCUAUGAAUGCCUCAGAAGAAGAAGAGUCUGAAUGGGAACAUAAAAGCAUCUUGGAAGAAUGCACAACUCAGCAGAAUCUUAGCUGUCUCUUAAUUACGUUCUACACAUAUCACUACAGAGAGAAUUGGGAACGAAUCACGAUUUCAACUGGUGCAAGUUUUGAAUGGUCCUUGAAGCAUCAUUAAACCAAAAGUCUUUAAAAAAGAACUGUAUUGUACACUGGCCAAUGGACAAGUAAUGGGUUUGCAAAUAAAUCUACAUUUUAUAAUUAUUGCUCAA